AGAUUGUGAGGAAUCGCACUUUCAAUGAAAAUUUACCCAAUUGAAAGGCAGUCGGAAAAAAUCUGAGAACUCGAAGUGAACAAGUUAGUUGUUGCUCGAGGAAGAAUUCGUUGUGGUUACAGAGAUGGCGUUACUCCAAUCAAAACUUAAGAGUAUGAGCAAAAUGGUGCUUCUAUUGACAAUGAUUUUGUUGCAAUUGGCAAGAUCGAACUCGACGCCAACCUUGCCUGAUAUGGAACGACUCAAUCGAACUGGGAAGCUCCUGCCAAUCUUUUCCGUUGUAAGAUUUCAAAAUGAUCCAUGCACUGGAAACGAUGGCAAAAUCGGAACUUGCUACACAACUGACGAGUGCUCCACCAAAGGAGGGAUUCGCUCUGGUGUCUGCGCUUUGGGGUUUGGACAAUGUUGUGUAUGUAAGUAUGUUCGUGUUGCUUCAUUUCUUAGCUAAAGUU
Molecule: long non-coding RNA, 452 nt
Organism: Tigriopus californicus
Lineage: Eukaryota; Metazoa; Arthropoda; Copepoda; Harpacticoida; Harpacticidae
Exons: 3
Source: RefSeq, a predicted model, not a curated record